RNAcentral lists this ribosomal RNA (393 nucleotides) under uncultured bacterium. RNAcentral describes it as "partial 16S ribosomal RNA". It matches the Rfam family "Bacterial small subunit ribosomal RNA", at positions 523 to 918 of the family's 1533-position model. The record is from RNAcentral.
AUACGGAGGAUCCGAGCGUUAUCCGGAUUUAUUGGGUUUAAAGGGAGCGUAGGCGGACAGUUAAGUCAGUUGUGAAAGUUUGCGGCUCAACCGUAAAAUUGCAGUUGAUACUGGCUGUCUUGAGUACAGUAGAGGCAGGCGGAAUUCGUGGUGUAGCGGGGAAAUGCGUAGAUAUCCCGAAGAACUCCGAGUGCGAAGGCAGCCUGCUGGACUGUAACUGACGAUGAUGGUAGAAAGUGUGAGUAUCAAACAGGAUUAGAUACCCUAGUAGUCCACACAGUAAACGAUGAAUGCUCGUUGUUGGCGAUAUACAGUAAGCGGCCAAGCGAAAGCGUUAAGUAUUCCGCCUGGGGAGUACGCCGGCAACGGUGAAACUCAAAGGAAUUGACGGGG